CGAUGAAACAGGGGUGCUCAUAAUCGCCUUACAAAACAUUUACUAAUUGUUUCGAUUGUUUCAGCUAUAUUGCAUCGACAUGUAUGUCAAAAUAGAAACGGAACGUUUCACAUUUAUUAGGUUGAACCAAGCAAAAUUGUCGUGCUAUAUAGAUUUAGGUGAAUUAAAGUAAAGUGUAGUUUAAUUACUAAUGCCGUGACCAAGACAAUCGAAUCUUUCCCGACAAAUCUGUAACGCAAGAGGGAUACGAAAAACUGCAAUGGAAAGAAAGAACAUGAAAUUGUGGUUUAUAUUUCUUAGAUGUCAUUUUCACCAGGGAACAGAUAUUCUUCUGCAAGCAACGAAACCAGCGCAAUAAAUUCAUCGGGAAAUAGAGAAGUAACGGUGAAGCCUAUGAAAGUGUUUGUGCUGAAAAGUGUUUUUCUGUUAUGUCAAUGCAGCGAGCAAAAACAAAAAUAAAUUCAUAUAUUUGGUUUGUCAUUGUCAUGGGCGACACAUUAUCAUCUAAAAGUAUAGGUAUAAUUCUGCUGGUGAUUACAAUUACAAUCCGCCAAAAGAUACAAAUUACUUACCUACAGCUGCAUUACCACCGAUUUCUGCAUAUGGUCCCCCUCCAGACUCUACCGGAGGAGGCUAUGAUUACCAUCCCCCCAAAGACAAUAGCUAUUUACCACCUGGACCGGCUUACGGUCAUCUACCAGUAUUUAAUUCGGAACAACCUCCAUAUUAUCAGCCAGUUCAUUCUAUUCCAUAUAAUUCACACAUAACAUUUUUAGAUAAAUUAAAAUCUAAAAUAAGUCUUUUUACCCUCGGAAAAAUAAUUUUAAAAUUAUUGAUUUUUAAGAAAAUAGUUAAAUUUAUUGGAAUAAUUUGUCUGCUAUUAGUAUUACCAAAAUUAAAAAGUGUAUUUGCAGAUAAUACAAGUAGUGAAUAUGAGGGCAUGAACAGCAAAAACGUUGAGUCUGAUAAAGAAAAAUUGGAAAGGCAAAUUAAUGAGAUUUAUGAAUUUAUAACUAAAUCGCUUGAAGAUUUUGAAAAUGCAUAUACAUAAGUUUUAAAAUCCUAUUCUAAAAUGCCCAUGCUUAUAUUUCAUAAAGUAUUAUUUAUUUAUUAAAAUAUAUUUCAUAUGAA
Molecule: RNA transcript, 1131 nt
Organism: Drosophila albomicans
Lineage: Eukaryota; Metazoa; Arthropoda; Insecta; Diptera; Drosophilidae
Exons: 4
Source: RefSeq, a predicted model, not a curated record